RNAcentral lists this ribosomal RNA (126 nucleotides) under Babjevia anomala. RNAcentral describes it as "Lipomyces anomalus partial small subunit ribosomal RNA". It matches the Rfam family "Eukaryotic small subunit ribosomal RNA", at positions 1657 to 1779 of the family's 1831-position model. The record is from RNAcentral. Lineage: Eukaryota; Fungi; Ascomycota; Lipomycetes; Lipomycetales; Lipomycetaceae.
CCUUUGUACACACCGCCCGUCGCUACUACCGAUUGAAUGGCUUAGUGAGGCUUUCGGACUGACUUUCGAUGUUGGGAAACCGACUGUCAGAAGUUGGAAAGUUAGUCAAACUUGGUCAUUUAGAGG